UACGUAGGGCGCAAGCGUUGUCCGGAAUUAUUGGGCGUAAAGAGCUCGUAGGCGGUUUGUCGCGUCUGCUGUGAAAACUCGAGGCUCAACCUCGGGCGUGCAGUGGGUACGGGCAGACUAGAGUGCGGUAGGGGUGACUGGAAUUCCUGGUGUAGCGGUGGAAUGCGCAGAUAUCAGGAGGAACACCGAUGGCGAAGGCAGGUCACUGGGCAGCAACUGACGCUGAGGAGCGAAAGCAUGGGGAGCGAACAGG
Molecule: ribosomal RNA, 253 nt
Filed under: uncultured bacterium
Lineage: Bacteria
Description: partial 16S ribosomal RNA
Rfam family: Bacterial small subunit ribosomal RNA
Source: RNAcentral